Long non-coding RNA from Schistocerca serialis cubense, 728 nucleotides. RefSeq lists it as uncharacterized. The transcript is spliced from 3 exons. Lineage: Eukaryota; Metazoa; Arthropoda; Insecta; Orthoptera; Acrididae. The record is from RefSeq and is a predicted model, not a curated record.
CAUAUCUUUUGUUUACAUUAAUAGCGUCAUGAUAUUGUUGUAUUCUACGGUGAGCUUGGAGGAGACGGAAGCGAUGUGAAAUAUUGAGCAGUCCUAAAGCUACACAUUUGUGUGCAGAAGGGGACAUGAUCCAAUUUCACCACUAUGCUGGAAUGUGUGGAAUGUAAUUGAAGACUUGCAUAGAAGCACAUCAAGUGGCAGCAAUCUGGUAUACUGUUAUUACAAUGGGCUGUGUGUGAUGAAAUAUCAAACCAUGCCACAAUAAUAGCUGCCCUGAGCAAACUCAGUCUAUAAGGUGGGGACCAUUUUCGGAAAUCAUAUGAUUAUGUUGUUUUGAUUCCAUCAAACAGGAAACCUUGACAGACACAUGUGGUGGCAAGAUAUAAAUUAAAGGGUAUAGAGACGGUCAUCAAAUUAUCUUUGUACCACACAUGCAGUUUGAAAAGAAUCUCUGCAAGGUGGCUCAUUGUGGUAAUUGAGUCAAUAAAUUGAAUGACAUUGACCAAAGUUGACUAGUAUUCGCUCACUGACAGUUUAACUAAUAGAUGACACUGUGUUUUAUGGCUUUAACAUGUCUGUCAAUAAAUGAUUUCAAACUUAAUUGCUCAUAACAUUGCAGCAACCGUCAACAUCGUGUACCAUUCUUGCUUUGGCGCUCUCAGCUGUUUACCAGUUUGUGUUAUCUAAAGUUGGCAGUGACAAAAAGAUCAAUAAAAAUGUUGUCUCAU